GGGAGUGUCGCCUAAGGAUGAGGGCAUCGAUCUUCUAAAUCGAUUUGUGUAGAUACCCUUCGGGAACGCUUACGCGAACGAUUCCUACCACUCCUGCCA
Molecule: transfer RNA, 99 nt
Filed under: bacterium
Lineage: Bacteria
Description: tRNA-Arg
Rfam family: tRNA
About the family: Transfer RNA (tRNA) molecules are approximately 80 nucleotides in length. Their secondary structure includes four short double-helical elements and three loops (D, anti-codon, and T loops). Further hydrogen bonds mediate the characteristic L-shaped molecular structure. tRNAs have two regions of fundamental functional importance: the anti-codon, which is responsible for specific mRNA codon recognition, and the 3' end, to which the tRNAs corresponding amino acid is attached (by aminoacyl-tRNA synthetases). tRNAs cope with the degeneracy of the genetic code in two manners: having more than one tRNA (with a specific anti-codon) for a particular amino acid; and 'wobble' base-pairing, i.e. permitting non-standard base-pairing at the 3rd anti-codon position.
Source: RNAcentral